AAGUCGUAACAAGGUAUCCGUAGGUGAACCUGCGGAUGGAUCAUUAAACAUAUCUACGUAUCAACCAACCGCGCACUUUGUUAUUUCCGACCUGCUCUGUCAGGUAAGUCCUUGUGGCUGACUGAUAUCAGGGCGGAAACUUAUUAACCCAUUGUAUUAUCAUCCCCAGUUAUUUCAUUUCUUUGUCGCGGCCUAACGGCGGACUUUCUAGUAAGAAAUUUUUGUACAACUCUUAACGAUGGAUAUCUAGGCUCUC
Molecule: unclassified non-coding RNA, 256 nt
Filed under: fungal sp.
Lineage: Eukaryota; Fungi
Description: partial internal transcribed spacer region
Rfam family: Eukaryotic small subunit ribosomal RNA (bases 1-46)
Source: RNAcentral